GACGAACGCUGGCGGCGUGCCUAAUACAUGCAAGUUGAGCGCUGAAGGUUGGUACUUGUACCGACUGGAUGAGCAGCGAACGGGUGAGUAACGCGUGGGGAAUCUGCCUUUGAGCGGGGGACAACAUUUGGAAACGAAUGCUAAUACCGCAUAAAAACUUUAAACACAAGUUUUAAGUUUGAAAGAUGCAAUUGCAUCACUCAAAGAUGAUCCCGCGUUGUAUUAGCUUGUUGGUGAGGUAAGGGCUCACCAAGGCGAUGAUACAUAGCCGACCUGAGAGGGUGAUCGGCCACAUUGGGACUGAGACACGGCCCAAACGCCUACGGGAGGCAGCAGUAGGGAAUCUUCGGCAAUGGACGAAAGUCUGACCGAGCAACGCCGCGUGAGUGAAGAAGGUUUUCGGAUCGUAAAACUCUGUUGGUAGAGAAGAACGUUGGUGAGAGUGGAAAGCUCAUCAAGUGACGGUAACUACCCAGAAAGGGACGGCUAACUACGUG
Molecule: ribosomal RNA, 497 nt
Filed under: uncultured bacterium
Lineage: Bacteria
Description: partial 16S ribosomal RNA
Rfam family: Bacterial small subunit ribosomal RNA
Source: RNAcentral